UGUUAAACAAAACUUUCAUGUUGCUACAUAACCGCGCGCACGGCUUUCCGAAAGAUUUAACCCUGCAGGGGUGCUCCAACUAGUCCAUCACAAAUUACCACAAGCCGCAUAGAAAUCUUCAAUCACGAAGCUCGCGAUCUCGUCGGAUUCCCUAGUGUAAAACCUCAACUCUGAGUUUACCAAAGCAUCACCGGAAUCCCGAUGCACAAGAUAUUCCAUCAAAGGUAAAACUAAUCCAGCAAGGCCGCCUGACAUGUCGACGAUCCCAAUAGGAGCCGCGUAUCCCGUUCUCAGGACACAACGGAUGGAAAAGCCUACAGGUACCAAACCUCAAGUUCCCCAGUGGUGGCCCCGCAGUCUGUCCAUUUUGGACCAACACUCAUGAGGAGCACUGGCCCGGGGGUUGAUUAAAUUUCCUCGGGUUAAUUACUCCCUAUGCAGUUCAU
This 446-nucleotide long non-coding RNA is filed under the name Hordeum vulgare. RNAcentral's name for it is "long non-coding RNA (HVUL_LNC000867)". The record is from RNAcentral. Lineage: Eukaryota; Viridiplantae; Streptophyta; Magnoliopsida; Poales; Poaceae.